AAGGGGAGCAAUCCCUGAGUAAAGUGGCGACCGGGUGAGUAACACGUGACUAACCUACCCUCGAGUGUGGAAUAACAUCGGGAAACCGAUGCUAAUACCGCAUAACAUCGCAAGAUCAAAGGAGCAAUCCGCUUGAGGAGGGGGUCGCGGCUGAUUAGCUAGUUGGCGGGGUAACGGCCCACCAAGGCGAAGAUCGGUAGCCGGCCUGAGAGGGCGCACGGACACACUGGAACUGAAACACGGUCCAGACUCCUACGGGAGGCAGCAGUGGGGAAUUUUGCGCAAUGGGGGAAACCCUGACGCAGCAACGCCGCGUGGAGGAUGAAGCCCCUUGGG
RNAcentral lists this ribosomal RNA (336 nucleotides) under uncultured bacterium. Its description in RNAcentral is "bacterial SSU rRNA". It matches the Rfam family "Bacterial small subunit ribosomal RNA", at positions 72 to 422 of the family's 1533-position model. The record is from RNAcentral.